This 458-nucleotide long non-coding RNA is filed under the name Amphimedon queenslandica. Its description in RNAcentral is "uncharacterized LOC109584732". The record is from RNAcentral. Lineage: Eukaryota; Metazoa; Porifera; Demospongiae; Haplosclerida; Niphatidae.
UAGAUAUUAUACGUACAUGGAUUGGAAACAUCACAGGAAGCCAAUAUUAAAAACUCCUGAAACGUCACUUCCUGUUAGUCAAAGGCUCUUUUCGGGAGAUGGCGGCUAGGAGUUGGUAGUUAUCGUCAGUUAGUGUUUUACCUUGGACAGAUUUGGAUCCAAUUGUUGCUUCACUGUGUUUCCCAGGAGAAAUUAUGAAGUGAAUUGGAAGGAGAUAGGAGGUUAAAAAUUAUUGAAGGUGGUGUUUUACUGCCAAUUGAAGAUCAAUUUCAUCUGUUAUAUGGUUUAAUAGUAGGAACAAAAUACCUUUGCAUGCACUGUCUACCAUAUUGAGAAAGCCAGGAGCAUGAGCCAUCAGCAGACUGUAAUCAUCAUUAAUAAUUGAAUCUACUUGUUUGUGGCAUGUCAUCAAGGAAUUCUACGAAGUCAUCAACAAUACCUCAGUGAUAUUAAUAAUA